Molecule: ribosomal RNA, 222 nt
Filed under: Triticum aestivum (bread wheat)
Lineage: Eukaryota; Viridiplantae; Streptophyta; Magnoliopsida; Poales; Poaceae
Description: partial small subunit ribosomal RNA
Source: RNAcentral
AUGGCGAACUACAAAAGGCAUUUGGAUCCUUCCACUGCAGUUAUUGGGUUCUUUGUACGCUUUGAAGAUGAUAGUGUCGAUUCAGCAAAAGUGGUCAAACAGUGGAAUGUCAAAAUCAUAUCUAUAAGCAAGAAUAAAAGGCAUCAAGACAGACCGGCUGCUCUGGAGGUGUGGGAUCGGCUGGAUGAAUUUGUGCGGGCUGUACGUGUCUCUCUGGCUUAA